This 253-nucleotide ribosomal RNA is filed under the name uncultured bacterium. Its description in RNAcentral is "partial 16S ribosomal RNA". It matches the Rfam family "Bacterial small subunit ribosomal RNA", at positions 524 to 776 of the family's 1533-position model. The record is from RNAcentral.
UACGGAGGGAGCUAGCGUUGUUCGGAAUUACUGGGCGUAAAGCGCACGUAGGCGGCUUUGUAAGUUAGAGGUGAAAGCCCGGAGCUCAACUCCGGAAUUGCCUUUAAGACUGCAUCGCUUGAAUCCGGGAGAGGUGAGUGGAAUUCCGAGUGUAGAGGUGAAAUUCGUAGAUAUUCGGAAGAACACCAGUGGCGAAGGCGGCUCACUGGACCGGUAUUGACGCUGAGGUGCGAAAGCGUGGGGAGCGAACAGG